RNAcentral lists this long non-coding RNA (1396 nucleotides) under Homo sapiens (human). RNAcentral's name for it is "HSALNT0176910". Lineage: Eukaryota; Metazoa; Chordata; Mammalia; Primates; Hominidae. The record is from RNAcentral.
CUCCACUGGGACUGUCCCCAAGGGUCACCUGUGGGUGAGGACGGCAUUGCUGACAGACAUCCAGAAGUUGGGGCCACAGGCUGGCAGAUUGGGAAGACGUGGAUGCCAGCCCCCAGUGUCCCUGAGGAGGGUGGUGCCCACCUCCCAGAGACCACAGCUCUGUGCCGUCUGCCCGGAGAUCGGCACUCCUCUGCAGAAACCUUGGCCCAGGUCCCAGGUGGAGACAAACAGGAACCUCUACCCUCCUCUGCCUGUUAGUACUGGAUGGUGUGAGCGAGGUCCCCCAGCUGCACCACAGCAGGGCAGGAGACAGCAGGGUGCCCGCCCAGAACAGUGGGAGCAGUGCUUCCUGUUGCAGCCCCCACCCAGCCAGGCACAGGCCCAGUGCCUCUGUGGGACUCCAUCCAGGACUUGUUGAAAUGGCCGAUGAUACAAAGGAGCCCCGACUUCACCCAUGGCCAGCUUCCCUCGCCAUCCUCCCUGCAGCCAAAGGACUCGCCCUCACCUGUUCUUUCUGAGACAAAUCAUCUGCCAGGUUUCCGCCUCGGGACACCCAAGCUCAGCACAGACAGCCUAGCAGCCUGGGUGACAGGAUCCCAGGGGACAGGAUUCUCUCCUUGCCAUGGGGAUGAGGACAAAUUCUCCCUUCAUCCUUGAGAUUGGACUCCCGCCACACAUCCUGGAGGAGCCUACAGAGAAGCCGGCAGGUCUCCCUCACCUGGAUGGUGCCAGCGGGUGGCCUGGACCACCCAGAGGCCCUCUCCUGCACCUGACAGGAAGCCCCUGGGGCAUACGUCUCCCCUGCCACUUCCACUGUGGCCACUGGAAGUGUGGCAGAGAAAAUAGCUAGGACAAAAAGAAGUCAAUGAUUUCAACCAACGGAAUUUCUUUGUCCUUUGUAAAAAUCAACACAUGAUCUGUUACUGAUUGGGAUGUGAAAUAAAACUAAAAAUAACAGCACACUGAGCCUGGCUCAGGGCUCAGCUCACCUUUACCACGGUCCAAGUUCAGUUUAUCAGAUCCCAAGGAGCAGCUAAGCAGCAAGUCAAACACAGGUGAGGGUGGAGGGCGGAGGGCGGAGCGGGGAGGGGGCUCUGGCCCUCUGCGUGCCCCCACCAACCCCCAGGUAGAGAACCAGCCAGCUCACCAGGGAGUGUGGCCAAGCAAGAAGCUAUACACAGAAUUCUGAGCCCACACCCUAAUCUGCCUCAGGUGGGGAGGCCACUCACUUCCCUUUUUGCCUCAGUUUCCCCACUGGGGUUACCAGGGUCUUCUGGCACAUUCCCUUGUUUUAAGGAACGGUGGAAGAGGGGUCCCCUUGAGAUCAGGUUAAGCUGUGAAACAUCCUGCCAGCGCCACAGGCCACUGGGUCCUGGAAGGUCAGGCCACAAAGACC